UACAGAGGUCUCAAGCGUUGUUCGGAUUCAUUGGGCGUAAAGGGUGCGUAGGCGGCCGAUCAAGUCGGGGGUGAAAGCCUGUGGCUUAACCACAGAAUGGCCUUCGAUACUGUUUGGCUUGAGACCGGAAGAGGUUAGUGGAACUGCGAGUGUAGAGGUGAAAUUCGUAGAUAUUCGCAAGAACACCAGUGGCGAAGGCGGCUAACUGGUCCGGUUCUGACGCUGAGGCGCGAAAGCGUGGGGAGCAAACAGG
RNAcentral lists this ribosomal RNA (253 nucleotides) under uncultured bacterium. RNAcentral's name for it is "partial 16S ribosomal RNA". It matches the Rfam family "Bacterial small subunit ribosomal RNA", at positions 524 to 776 of the family's 1533-position model. The record is from RNAcentral.